RNAcentral lists this ribosomal RNA (549 nucleotides) under uncultured Septoglomus. Its description in RNAcentral is "SSU rRNA". It matches the Rfam family "Eukaryotic small subunit ribosomal RNA", at positions 548 to 1098 of the family's 1831-position model. Lineage: Eukaryota; Fungi; Glomeromycota; Glomeromycetes; Glomerales; Glomeraceae. The record is from RNAcentral.
UUGGAGGGCAAGUCUGGUGCCAGCAGCCGCGGUAAUUCCAGCUCCAAUAGCGUAUAUUAAAGUUGUUGCAGUUAAAAAGCUCGUAGUUGAACUUCGGGAUCAAUGGAUUGGUCAUGCCGUUGGUAUGUACUGGUCGUAUUGGUUCUCACCUUCUAAGGAACCAUAAUGUCAUUAAUUUGAUGUUUUGGGGAAUUAGGACUGUUACCUUGAAAAAAUUAGAGUGUUUAAAGCAGGCAUACGCUUGAAUACAUUAGCAUGGAAUAAUGAAAUAGGACGUUCGAUUCUAUUUUGUUGGUUUCUAGGAUCGACGUAAUGAUUAAUAGGGAUAGUUGGGGGCAUUAGUAUUCAAUUGUCAGAGGUGAAAUUCUUGGAUUUAUUGAAGACUAACUACUGCGAAAGCAUUUGCCAAGGAUGUUUUCAUUAAUCAAGAACGAAAGUUAGGGGAUCGAAGACGAUCGGAUACCGUCGUAGUCUUAACCAUAAACUAUGCCGACUAGGGAUCGGAUGAUGUUAAUUUUUUAAUGACUCAUUCGGCGCCUUACGUGAAAC